GUCCAGUCCAGUCCAGUCAAGGCGUCCCUUGGGUUUUGGCCAUGUCCUCUCCGAUCAACCAGCUGCUUCUUGCCUAGAACACUGUGAGUUGGUUUGUUUAAGUUCCACUUGGAACUUAGGAUAGAUCGAGUUGCAUAUAGAGUAGUAAUAUCACACUGAUGCAUGAUAGAGUCCUAGGGUUAUUUUUAUUUAUGAAUUGGACUCAGUUUAGCAUUGGCUAAGCUGAGAUAUAAUGGAAUUAAGACUGAGUUAUAACCUGACUAGGACUAGGAUGAAUGAUGCAUUAACCGGUAUAGUAUGAUAAAUUAUGGCGUAGCUGAAUUGUUAGGAUUGAGAUGCCUGUUUUCCUUUAUUUAUUUAUGGGUAGUUUAGUAAUGGAGUAGACCUGCCUUAGAGAUAUUAGGACUAUUGAAUGCUUGGUUUGGUAGUGAUUGUUGUUGUGCAGGGAUGGUAUUGUUCAGGAGAUCUUAGGCCAUAUAGGCCGAUUUCCUUCCGUGUCGAGUUUAGUACUACGAGUCCUAUGCCAUAUAGGCUGGACUACGAGUACUGGUGUUAGUAUCGUAGACUCCUUAGUGUAUUUAAGUUUGUGGUAGGAGUCUUGGUCUUAUUAGGAUUAGUGUGUUGUAGCCGAUAGUAUGAGCGUAACCCAUCCAUACUAGGCUUGUUUAGGGGCGAUUAGUGUUUCCUCGGCCUCGUACCCAGCGGGUUUAAGGAAACCCCUUAUUCGUUGGAUCGGGAAGACUCAGAGAGACGGGAUCAUGGCCUAGGGCUGAGUUAUUACACGACGGUGUAAUGUGGCAGUGACCCGAAGAACUGUGGGCUGUCGCGCGGUGACCCGAAGGACUGUGGGCCGCGG
RNAcentral lists this long non-coding RNA (856 nucleotides) under Brassica napus (rape). Its description in RNAcentral is "long non-coding RNA (BNAP_LNC025478)". The record is from RNAcentral. Lineage: Eukaryota; Viridiplantae; Streptophyta; Magnoliopsida; Brassicales; Brassicaceae.